RNAcentral lists this ribosomal RNA (582 nucleotides) under Neoceratosperma cyatheae. Its description in RNAcentral is "eukaryotic LSU rRNA". It matches the Rfam family "Eukaryotic large subunit ribosomal RNA", at positions 94 to 702 of the family's 3401-position model. The record is from RNAcentral. Lineage: Eukaryota; Fungi; Ascomycota; Dothideomycetes; Mycosphaerellales; Mycosphaerellaceae.
UGAAGCGGCAACAGCUCAAAUUUGAAAUCUGGCGCAAGCCCGAGUUGUAAUUUGCAGAGGAUGCUUCUGGGCAGCGGCCGUUCUAAGUUCCUUGGAACAGGACGUCAUAGAGGGUGAGAAUCCCGUACGUGACCGGCGCGCACCCUCCACGUAGCUCCUUCGACGAGUCGAGUUGUUUGGGAAUGCAGCUCUAAAUGGGAGGUAAAUUUCUUCUAAAGCUAAAUACCGGCCAGAGACCGAUAGCGCACAAGUAGAGUGAUCGAAAGAUGAAAAGCACUUUGGAAAGAGAGUUAAAAAGCACGUGAAAUUGUUGAAAGGGAAGCGCUUACAACCAGACUUCGGGGCGGUGUUCCGCCGGUCUUCUGACCGGUCCACUCGCCGCCGCGAGGCCAGCAUCACCUGGGGCCGCCGGAUAAGACCGUAGGAAUGUGGCUCCCCUCGGGGAGUGUUAUAGCCUGCGGUGAUGCGGCGCGCCUCGGGUGAGGUCCGCACUUCGGUAAGGAUGCUGGCGUAAUGGUUGUCAGCGGCCCGUCUUGAAACACGGACCAAGGAGUCUAACAUCUAUGCGAGUGUUCGGGUGUC